CAUGGCGGAGACCCUGAGCCCCUGCUCCCCACGGGGCCAGUGCCAGCCCAGCAUGGGCGCCAACGCCUCGUCCGCCAACAUGGACACCAACGCCUCCGCCUCGAUGGUGGGCGGCAGCGCGUGGAGGGGCCGGGAGCCCUUCUCCGUCUUCACCGUCCUCAUCCUGACCCUGCUGGUGCUUCUGACCGUGGCCACCUUCCUGUGGAACCUGCUGGUGCUGGCCACCAUCCUGCGGGUGAAGGCCUUCCACCGGGUGCCCCACAACCUGGUGGCCUCCACGGCGGUGUCGGACGUGCUGGUGGCGGCCCUGGUGAUGCCGCUGAGCCUGGUGAAGGAGCUGUCGGCCGGGCGGCGGUGGCGGCUGGGCCGGGAGCUGUGCCUCGUGUGGGUGUGCUUCGACGUGCUGUGCUGCACGGCCAGCAUCUGGAACGUGACGGCCAUCGCCCUGGACCGCUACUGGUCCCUCACCCGGCAGCUGCAGUACACGCUGCUCGCCCGCCGCCGCAUCUCCAACGUCAUGAUCGCUCUCACCUGGCUGCUCUCCGCCGCCAUCUCCCUCGCCCCGCUCCUGGGCUGGGGGGAGACCUACAGCCCCGAGCAGGAGCGCUGCCAGCUCAGCCAGGACCCGUCCUACACCAUCGUCUCCACGGGCGGGGCGUUCUACCUGCCCCUCUGCGUGGUGCUCUUCGUCUACUGGAAGAUCUACAAGGCGUCCAAGUUCCACAUGUGGGGCCGCAGGAGGAACGCCGUGGUGCCCCUGCCCGAGGCUGCCCAGGUGAAGGAAGCUUCGCAGGAACCACAGAUGGUGUUUACAGCUCGUCGUGCAGCUAUCACUUUCCAGACAGAUGGAGAAACAUGGAGAGAACAGAAAGAGAAAAAGGCAGCUCUGAUGGUUGGCAUCUUAAUAGGAGUUUUUGUACUGUGCUGGAUCCCUUUCUUCAUCACCGAAUUAAUAAGUCCCCUCUGUUCCUGCAACAUCCCACCCAUCUGGAAAAGCAUCUUUCUGUGGCUUGGCUACUCAAAUUCUUUCUUUAAUCCUCUCAUAUACACAGCAUUUAACAAAAAUUACAACAAUGCCUUCAAGAACCUUUUUGUAAAGCAAAGAUAAAAGGGGACGCAGAGGAGAAAAUUAUUAUUGCAUAAUUGAGAGAUUUCUUGAGGGAAACAUGCCUGUGAUACGUACAGUUUUCAUGCACAAGAGCUACUUGACGGGACUUGGGAGCAGUGCAAAAGAAGAUGGAAGAUGUCUGGAUCUAAACCUACUGAGAGUUUACAGUUCCCCCUUAGAAAUACAUCUGUGCUAUGCCAGGGUUUGGCAAAGAAGGUGGAAGCAGGGAAUGCCUCCUGUCCUCUCUUCAAAUCCUCACAGGCUGAGGUCUGCCAGCGAAGCUCUGCGCGUGUCCGGUGCCACGGCUGUCACACCCCACGGGCCGAUCCCACCCAACCGGGGCUGUGCUGGAGCUCUCCUCAUUAGCAAAGGCACCCCUGGGAGCUGCUAACUGAGCAAUACUGACAUGUUUGUGAUCUGGGCAGCAUGCUGGCUUCGGGUUUGGGAUUUAUCUGGAAGGGAAUAAGCUUGCUGCAGUCAAUCAGUCUUUGAGUUGAUAUGAGAUAGUGUUGAGGGGCUGUGUGCUCUGCAAGCAGCAGGCCUUCAUGGGCAGACUUGGUCAAACAGGGCUCAGCUGUGUCACCUAGGGUUAAGUGAAACUUAAGAGGCAAGUACAGAAUUAUUCAGAGCCCCUGAGAAUGUGUCCUCACUGCUUCCACAGGAGGAUCCAUUGAGGAUUUUUCACUUGUGUUGUCCUGUCACUCUGCCAGGCUCAGACUCUCCCUGUCUUAUGAAACCCAGGUGAGCUCAAGAUAGACGCCAACACUUCCAAGCAAAUGGAGACUGUGUGCAUGUACCAUAAACCUGAGCAGGCAUCUGUGUUACAGACACCAAACAGGAUGUUCAGUCACACCAGGUGUGCUGGCUGCAACGUGUGGCUGCGUGGCAGUUGUAGAUGAGUGCCUGCACUAUGUCUGGGACCCUUGCACCAUUAAUGUGCUCAUCACCCAGCCUGGCUGAAGUCCACGAUUUGUCAGCUGGCAUCAACUUCCUCCUACUGUAACAAAGGUGUUGACGCCAUCAACAGGUCUAAGUGACUCCCCAAAACUCAAAGGGGUUCAAACUCAAGCCUUACGUAGUUUUCCCAAGAUCUGACAAAAACCCCUGACCUGAAUAUAUAUAAUAUAUAUACAUAAAUAAUCUAUUUCCUCACAUACUGCCAGUCCAUCUUGCUCCAUAUUUGUUUCUCUGGUGGGUUUUAUUUCCUCCCCUGCUCUGAGUGGGAGAGCUGACAGCAUCCCUGAGUAUUUCUAGCAUGGCAGCUUUUACUGACACAGUCCCAGAAGGCUUAAGGGAGCUUGGCUGCAUGUCAGGAGCACAGUGUAUGGUGAGGUCAGGCACUGCUGAACCUCACACCUGCAGUGCUGUGACAGUCCAGUGUGACCUGCUGUGCCUGCAGCCACAGCCACCUGUGAGUCUUGCAUUCCUGCAGAGGAUGCUUCUCUCAAUUUCAGUGGGAAUUCAGAAGGUUUAAUAACCUAGAAUUUCAAAGAGUUGUUAGAUAGUGACUCAGACUUAAAUGCCAAUUUAAAUAACGUUCCCUUGUGACUCCCAACUUGCCUGCAUAUGGAAUCACUACCAUUCAAACCAGGCGUAAUUAAACCAGAAGGAAGGCACAUAUGUAAGAGACUGAAUGUUACUAAAACCUUCAGCCUCAUUCAGAACCACUGACAAAUUUUUCAAGUCAAUCAAAUAUUUUCAUGUCACUGCUCUAAAACCUGAGCUGCUGUUGAAAAGCCUAUAAAUCUUCUGCAUGUAGAACUCCUGAAGUUUCUAAUAAUCAUGUUUUGGACAAAUUUUACUGCCUGUAUUCCCUCAGCCUGGCAAGCCAAGUCAUUGCUAUGACACAAAUCCAAUGCCAACCCUGGGGCCCUGGCCCAUCCCAGUCUGGCUGCAGGAGCUGCAGUGACAUCCAGCUGCACAUUCCAACUGACUGGAGCAGCAACUGGCUCCAGUUCCAGAACCCUUCCCUGAAGCAACACAGGCUGUGAAGGCACCUUCUGCCAUGGCUUGGCCUCUGGAACUUGGGAGACCACCACAGAGCUGCAAGGCCCCUGUGCAGUUCCUGCAGUUGCACAGGUGCAGGGCAUUGCUGCAGAUGCUGACCCACAGCAGAGUGCCUUCAGCAAGCGGGAGAGCUUGCAGGGCACUGACACAGUUCUCCUCCUCCUCAAGGAUGAAUUUAGCUCCCUCAGGAGGCGAGGCUGGGCCUCUGGGAUUUUGCUGUGAGAAGUUCUGAAGAUAAGCAGCCAGUGCUCUGCCCACCCGAGUGUCUGUGCCAGCAGCGAGUGUCACAGCGACAGGCUCACACCAGCCUCCCUACGUACCCAGAGGCGAGAGGCAGGCACAGCUUUCAUUUCAUCACAGCAGCUUUAGAAAGCCCUUAAAAUCGACUUCCCACACUGGCUCUAAAUGCAGACUGCAUUUAGAAGAGCAGCAGCUCAAAUUCGGGAUUUAAAAUUCUGUUUUUCAAUCACAGCUUACUGUGGGGCAAAGAAAAUACAUUAUUGAUGGUUGUUGCCUAACCUGCUGGAUGCUCCCAUAUGAACUAAGCUAAAUGACACAAUAUCCUGACUAUCCAAACAGAAAAAAAAACCAACAAAAUCAGGUAUUCUAAAGGCACAUCAUUUGGCACAGCUUAGAUGUUGGGUCAUUUAUUUCCCCAACAGAAGCUGCCGGUUUGGAAUACACCAAUCACCUCUGCUUGUAAACAGUGGACUACUAGUUUUAAACUUUAUUUCCUGACACUGAAGUUGCUCUUAGAAAAACUUACUAAAGCCUAUUGCUCAGCAGAAGGGCAGUGUUGCAUCCUGCAGCAGCUGGGCUGGGGGAGCCCAGAAUGUGCGAAAUGAAAGGGCUUUGGAAGAUGAGUGUGAGCAGACAAUGCUAAUAAUCCUAAUAAAAAAAUUAAGUUUUGCUGCAAGUCCUGUAAAUGUUACUUUACAAGCCUGGUGACACCAAAUGAAGUCAGGACAAGACCUUUCUCUUUCAACAAGGAAACGCAGCAAUACUGAGGAAAAAUUCUAUGUCUAAGUUCCUCACUUGCAACCAGCUGAGAUGGAGAAUUGAAGCAGAUUCUCCUUGCUGUUGUUUCCUCCCCAGGAAUGAGGAGAAAUGGCACCCAACACAUUGAGCCUGUGCCAGAAACAAGGAACAGCUGAUGGAACUGCUUUCACACCCCUCACCAACCUUUCUUCUUUUCACAUGGGCCUCACACCAAAGGUAGUGGCCACCUGCCCUGGGCUCCAUCUACUGCAGACAGUCACUUACCUUAUGGACUAUGAUUUAUCCUUUGUGAGCAACAACUGCAUCUUCACAAGCAUCAAAUUUAUAUCUUAAUCAAAAUCACAAGCUCCUAGACAGGGCAUUGAUCUCACAUUUUUAUAUUCCUUGUGGAAUUUUCCAGGUUACUGUGUCUGUAGCAGAGGUUUUGCUGAGAUCAUUCUGCGGUUCUAGCAAGGAAAGCGAGAGGAGCCAGACCUUCAUUCGGUUCUGUUUGAUGCCUUCUACAAUCUGCUCCAUCUGCCGCAGAAACUGCUCCCGAGACCCGGACGAUGCCAUGGCUCUGGAAAGAGAACGGAACACCUGGCAGGGAUGUGGGACACCGUGUCUCAGCUGCAGCUGUCUUGCACAUCUGCCCAUGUCCAAAGUUCUCACUGCUUAGUGCUCUGGGUAAAAAUUCAUCCUUUUAAUCGCUGGUACCACUGACAGUGCAGCUCUGCAGCUGGUGUGAGCUACCAAAGAGCCUGUCCGAAGUGUUCUCCCUGAGAGCUCAAGACUGUUCCUUGCUCUCAUGUGCUCUACAGAAAUCAGCUGCUAAUAACUAAACAAAAACAUAAUUCAAGAAAAGCUGUUGUGAAUAGUAAGAAGGUGAAUAGAGGUCUAGGAGAACAGCAAAUGUACAAAAUAAUUUCACGCUGUAAUAGGGAAAGCCUAGAAGUCAUUUUAGGCCUUAAAAUUGUUAGAGAAAAAUAAACACUGGGUGAUUCACAGAUUGAUAUUUGACCAUGAACUUCCAAAGCAACCACAAUUUUACCUAGGCUCCACACUCCAUACAGAGAUAAUUUAUAAUAAACAUAUCUGAAAUAUGUCCCAGUCUAAUGUUUUGUACAUAAUGUAAUAACCACAACUCCACAAAAAGGAGGAAAAGAUUUAAAUUAAUUCCAGGAAAAUUAUGACUGAAUUUCCACAUCUAAAGCGUUAGAUAUCAAAAACAUAUGUUUGCUAUAAAAGUUACUUAAUUCCAAGUCUGUGAUUCCCCAAACUGGCUUAAACAGAGUUAAUA
RNA transcript from Hirundo rustica (Barn swallow), 5393 nucleotides. It is a transcript of the gene named 5-hydroxytryptamine receptor 5B-like, with no coding region annotated. The transcript is spliced from 3 exons. NCBI's taxonomy places the organism in Eukaryota, Metazoa, Chordata, Aves, Passeriformes, Hirundinidae. The record is from RefSeq and is a predicted model, not a curated record.